GACGAACGCUGGCGGCGUGCUUAACACAUGCAAGUCGAACGGAAAGGCCCUGCUUUUGUGGGGUGCUCGAGUGGCGAACGGGUGAGUAACACGUGAGUAACCUGCCCUUGACUUUGGGAUAACUUCAGGAAACUGGGGCUAAUACCGGAUAGGAGCUCCUGCUGCAUGGUGGGGGUUGGAAAGUUUCGGCGGUUGGGGAUGGACUCGCGGCUUAUCAGCUUGUUGGUGGGGUAGUGGCUUACCAAGGCUUUGACGGGUAGCCGGCCUGAGAGGGUGACCGGCCACAUUGGGACUGAGAUACGGCCCAGACUCCUACGGGAGGCAGCAGUGGGGAAUCUUGCACAAUGGGCGGCAGCCUGAUGCAGCAACGCCGCGUGCGGGAUGACGGCCUUCGGGUUGUAAACCGCUUUCGCUCAUGACGAAGCUUUGUGUGACGGUAGUGGGUAAAGAAGCACCGGCUAACUACGUG
RNAcentral lists this ribosomal RNA (469 nucleotides) under uncultured bacterium. RNAcentral describes it as "partial 16S ribosomal RNA". It matches the Rfam family "Bacterial small subunit ribosomal RNA", at positions 28 to 507 of the family's 1533-position model. The record is from RNAcentral.